AUUGAACGCUGGCGGCGUGCCUAACACAUGCAAGUCGAGCGGUAACGAGGUGUAGCAAUACAUGCUGACGAGCGGCGAACGGGUGAGUAAUGCUUUGGAAUCUUCCCAGUAGUGGGGAAUAACCAGUCGAAAGAUUGGCUAAUACCGCAUACGUCGUGUAAAAGGGAAAGCGGGGGACUCGCCUCUUCUUCGGAAGAGAGGCCUCGCGCUAUUGGAUGAGCC
Molecule: ribosomal RNA, 222 nt
Filed under: uncultured bacterium
Lineage: Bacteria
Description: partial 16S ribosomal RNA
Rfam family: Bacterial small subunit ribosomal RNA
Source: RNAcentral